GGCAAAGUGUCAGAGUGGUUAAUGAGUAUGACUCGAACGACUCCGUCUAAUAGAUAUCAUAUGCCUUCGGGCGCGCAGGUUCGAAUCCUGCCUUUGUCG
Didymella sp. IMI 355093 is the source of this 99-nucleotide non-coding RNA. The record is from the annotation of a GenBank genome assembly. NCBI's taxonomy places the organism in Eukaryota, Fungi, Ascomycota, Dothideomycetes, Pleosporales, Didymellaceae.